UCGGGAAUUUUGGGCAAUGGGGGAAACCCUGACCCAGCAACGCCGCGUGAAGGAUGAAGUAUUUCGGUAUGUAAACUUCGAAAGAAUAGGAAGAAUAAAUGACGGUACUAUUUAUAAGGUCCGGCUAACUACGUGCCAGCAGCCGCGGUAAUACGUAGGGUGCAGGCGUUAAUCGGAAUUACUGGGCGUAAAGGGUGCGUAGGCGGCAUAUCAAGUCACUUGUGAAAUCUCCGGGCUUAACUCGGAACUGCCAAGUGAUACUGAUGUGCUAGAGUGCAGAAAGGGCAACUGGAAUUCUUGGUGUAGCGGUGAAAUGCGUAGAUAUCAAGAGGAACACCUGAGGCGAAGGCGAGUUGCUAGGCUGACACUGACGCUGAGGUACGAAAGCUAGGGGAGCGAACGGGAUUAGAUACCCUCGUAGUCCCUGAGCGGGCUGGCAAGGCGCAU
This 447-nucleotide ribosomal RNA is filed under the name uncultured bacterium. RNAcentral's name for it is "bacterial SSU rRNA". It matches the Rfam family "Bacterial small subunit ribosomal RNA", at positions 355 to 825 of the family's 1533-position model. The record is from RNAcentral.